RNAcentral lists this ribosomal RNA (827 nucleotides) under Phlyctema phoenicis. RNAcentral's name for it is "eukaryotic LSU rRNA". It matches the Rfam family "Eukaryotic large subunit ribosomal RNA", at positions 86 to 930 of the family's 3401-position model. Lineage: Eukaryota; Fungi; Ascomycota; Leotiomycetes; Helotiales; Dermateaceae. The record is from RNAcentral.
ACGGCGAGUGAAGCGGUAACAGCUCAAAUUUGAAAUCUGGGUCUUUCAGGCUCCGAGUUGUAAUUUGUAGAAGAUGCUUCGGGUGCGGCUCCGGUCUAAGUUCCUUGGAACAGGACGUCAUAGAGGGUGAGAAUCCCGUAUGUGAUCGGUCGCUUGCGCCCAUGUGAAGCUCUUUCGACGAGUCGAGUUGUUUGGGAAUGCAGCUCCAAAUGGGUGGUAUAUUUCAUCUAAAGCUAAAUAUUGGCCAGAGACCGAUAGCGCACAAGUAGAGUGAUCGAAAGAUGAAAAGCACUUUGGAAAGAGAGUUAAACAGUACGUGAAAUUGUUGAAAGGGAAGCGCUUGCAACCAGACUUGCGUGUUGUUGAUCAUCCGGGGUUCUCCCCGGUGCACUCGACCUCACUCAGGCCAGCAUCGGUUUCGGUGGUUGGAUAAAGGCCUUGGGAAUGUAGCUCCUCUCGGGGAGUGUUAUAGCCCUCGGUGCAAUGCAGCCUACCGGGACCGAGGACCGCGCUUCGGCUAGGAUGCUGGCGUAAUGGUUGUAAGCGACCCGUCUUGAAACACGGACCAAGGAGUCUAACAUCUAUGCGAGUGUUUGGGUGUCAAACCCAUACGCGUAAUGAAAGUGAACGGAGGUGAGAACCCUUAAGGGUGCAUCAUCGACCGAUCCUGAUGUCUUCGGAUGGAUUUGAGUAAGAGCAUAGCUGUUGGGACCCGAAAGAUGGUGAACUAUGCCUGAAUAGGGUGAAGCCAGAGGAAACUCUGGUGGAGGCUCGCAGCGGUUCUGACGUGCAAAUCGAUCGUCAAAUUUGGGUAUAGGGGCGAAAGA